This 484-nucleotide ribosomal RNA is filed under the name uncultured bacterium. RNAcentral's name for it is "partial 16S ribosomal RNA". It matches the Rfam family "Bacterial small subunit ribosomal RNA", at positions 30 to 507 of the family's 1533-position model. The record is from RNAcentral.
AUUGAACGCUGGCGGCAGGCCUAACACAUGCAAGUCGAGCGGAUGAAGGGAGCUUGCUCCUGGCUUCAGCGGCGGACGGGUGAGUAAUGCCUAGGAAUCUGCCUGGUAGUGGGGGAUAACGUCCGGAAACGGGCGCUAAUACCGCAUACGUCCUGAGGGAGAAAGUGGGGGAUCUUCGGACCUCACGCUCUCAGAUGAGCCUAGGUCGGAUUAGCCAGCUGGUGGGGUAAAGGCCUACCAAGGCGACGAUCCGUAACUGGUCUGAGAGGAUGAGCAGUCACACUGGAACUGAGACUCGGUCCCGACUCCUACGGCAGGCAGCAGUGGGGAAUAUGGGACAAUGGGCGAAAGCCUGAUCCAGCCAUGCCGCGUGUGGGAAGAAGGUCUUCGGAUUGUAAAGGACUCUAAGGCGGGAGGAAGGGCAGUAAGUUAAUACCUUGCUGUUGGGACGUUACCUACAGAAUAAGCACCGGCUAACUUCGUG